AUCCCUCUGCAACCUUUCUGUUGGCCCCUAGCAGACCACAAGCCUCUUGAGGGCAGGGGUUUGUGUCCUACCUGUAUCCAGCAUGCCUAGCAACCAGGGUGCUUAAUGUUUAUCGUUUUUGGGGCCCAUCUCCUUGCCUCCUCCAUCUGAGUCCCUGAGUCUCUAAGGCUCGCCUUCUUGCCUUGGCCCUGGAAUUAUCACAGCUCAGGCUGGCCUCAGAGUGACCUGACGCUGUGCUCAGGGUUUCCUAGUCUCUGAAGCAAAGCCUCAGGCCCUGGUCCUUUGCUGCCCCCACAGGCCCAGCGCCUGUCUGUCACCAUCCUAUUGGGAGGCACCAAGGCGCCCUGUGACCGGAUGCUGGGUUCCCGAGCUCCGAGUGGGAACUUUAGAGAGCAUCAUCUCCUCGCUGAUGCCUACAAGAUAUGAGAGUGGUACCUACCUCGUGUGAUGUCUGCGGAUUCCCAGAGACACUGCAUGUAAAGUGAAGAGCCCGGGAUAAGGUGGUGGCAGCUGCAGGGAAAGUGACCCUCUCCACCCUACCGGGCCCACCUUCCCCAGGGUGACUCCAAGGCCCAGGCUGAAAGGAUGAGCCGUACCUAGUGCCCUGCUGACUUGCUCAAGGUCCCGUGUCUGAGAGGCCUGGGAGACCUGAGUGUGACCAUUUGGCUUUCCCUGCGCUCUACACUCUGCCACUGGGACGCACAGUCACAUGUUCGGUGUGCCUGUGUGUAUGUGCAGGAGUGUGUGUCCAGCAGGCCCACAUGCACGUGUGCGCGCCUGUGCUCCUGUUCGCGACCCACCUCCUCCCCCCCGCCCAUCCCUGCCUGUCAGCGGCGCUGAUGACAUUGGCUCAGAGGAAAGUGAUGACAAAUGCCCGUUAUCAG
Bos taurus (domestic cattle) is the source of this 884-nucleotide long non-coding RNA. The record is from Ensembl. NCBI's taxonomy places the organism in Eukaryota, Metazoa, Chordata, Mammalia, Artiodactyla, Bovidae.